GGGUGAGUAACACGUUAGUAACCUGCCCUUGACUUUGGGAUAACUUCAGGAAACUGGGGCUAAUACCGGAUAGGAGCUCCUGCUGCAUGGUGGGGGUUGGAAAGUUUCGGCGGUUGGGGAUGGACUCGCGGCUUAUCAGCUUGUUGGUGGGGUAGUGGCUUACCAAGGCUUUGACGGGUAGCCGGCCUAAGAGGGUGACCGGCCACAUUGGGACUGAGAUACGGCCCAG
Molecule: ribosomal RNA, 229 nt
Filed under: uncultured Actinomycetales bacterium
Lineage: Bacteria; Bacillati; Actinomycetota; Actinomycetes; Actinomycetales
Description: partial 16S ribosomal RNA
Rfam family: Bacterial small subunit ribosomal RNA
Source: RNAcentral